AAACCAACAGGGAUUGCCUCAGUAACGGCGAGUGAAGCGGCAACAGCUCAAAUUUGAAAUCUGGCCGCAAGGUCCGAGUUGUAAUUUGUAGAGGAUGUUUUGGGCACCGCUGUGGGUUAAAUUUCUUGGAACAGAAUGUCAAAGAGGGUGAGAGUCCCGUCUUGGCCCGCGGUAGGACCUAUGUAAAACUCCUUCGACGAGUCGACUUGUUUGGGAAUGCAGGUCAAAAUGGGUGGUAAAUUUCAUCUAAAGCUAAAUAUUGGCCAGAGACCGAUAGCGCACAAGUAGAGUGAUCGAAAGAUGAAAAGCACUUUGAAAAGAGAGUUAAACAGUAUGUGAAAUUGUUGAAAGGGAAGCGCUGGCAACCAGACUCGAGCGCGGUGUUCCCCCUGGCUUCUGCCUGGGUUAUUUCACCGUGACCGGGCCAUCAUCAGUUUUGAGGGCUGGUUAAAGACUUAGGGAAUGUAUCCUCCCCUUCGGGGGUGGACUUAUAGCCUUGGGUGUCAUGCAGCCUCUUGGGACUGAGGAACGCGCUUCGGCGAGGAUGAUGGCGUAAUGGUUGUCAGCGAC
Molecule: ribosomal RNA, 570 nt
Filed under: uncultured fungus
Lineage: Eukaryota; Fungi
Description: eukaryotic LSU rRNA
Rfam family: Eukaryotic large subunit ribosomal RNA
Source: RNAcentral